CGACUUAGCUCAGUAGGUAGAGCAACUGACUUGUAAUCAGUAGGUCACCAGUUCGAUUCCGGCACCAUCAA
RNAcentral lists this transfer RNA (71 nucleotides) under Enterobacter sichuanensis. RNAcentral describes it as "tRNA-Thr". The stretch from base 5 to 64 matches the Rfam family "tRNA", at positions 7 to 64 of the family's 71-position model. From Rfam's summary of the family: Transfer RNA (tRNA) molecules are approximately 80 nucleotides in length. Their secondary structure includes four short double-helical elements and three loops (D, anti-codon, and T loops). Further hydrogen bonds mediate the characteristic L-shaped molecular structure. tRNAs have two regions of fundamental functional importance: the anti-codon, which is responsible for specific mRNA codon recognition, and the 3' end, to which the tRNAs corresponding amino acid is attached (by aminoacyl-tRNA synthetases). tRNAs cope with the degeneracy of the genetic code in two manners: having more than one tRNA (with a specific anti-codon) for a particular amino acid; and 'wobble' base-pairing, i.e. permitting non-standard base-pairing at the 3rd anti-codon position. Lineage: Bacteria; Pseudomonadati; Pseudomonadota; Gammaproteobacteria; Enterobacterales; Enterobacteriaceae. The record is from RNAcentral.